RNAcentral lists this ribosomal RNA (274 nucleotides) under uncultured bacterium. RNAcentral describes it as "partial 16S ribosomal RNA". It matches the Rfam family "Archaeal small subunit ribosomal RNA", at positions 473 to 747 of the family's 1478-position model. The record is from RNAcentral.
AAACCAGCACCUCAAGUGGUCAGGAUGAUUAUUGGGCCUAAAGCAUCCGUAGCCGGCUCAGUAAGUUUUCGGUUAAAUCUGUACGCUCAACGUACAGGCUGCCGGGAAUACUGCAGAGCUAGGGAGUGGGAGAGGUAGACGGUACUCGGGAGGAAGUGGUAAAAUGCUUUGAUCUUUCGAUGACCACCUGUGGCGAAGGCGGUCUACCAGAACACGUCCGACGGUGAGGGAUGAAAGCUGGGGGAGCAAACCGGAUUAGAAACCCGGGUAGUCC